CCUACGGGAGGCAGCAGUGAGGAAUAUUGGUCAAUGGCCGGAAGGCUGAACCAGCCAAGCGGCGUGAAGGACGAAGGUGCCAAGCAUUGUAAACUUCUUUUGUCAAGGGACAAAAUCAGGCUCGAGAGCCUGACCGAGGGUACUUGAAGAAAAAGCAUCGGCUAACUCCGUGCCAGCAGCCGCGGUAAUACGGAGGAUGCGAGCGUUAUCCGGAUUUAUUGGGUUUAAAGGGUGCGUAGGCGGGCUGUUAAGUCAGCGGUAAAAGCACGGGGCUCAACCCCGGCGAGCCGUUGAAACUGGCUGUCGUGAGAUGUCGAGAGGUAUGCGGAAUGCGCAGUGUAGCGGUGAAAUGCUUAGAUAGUGCGCAGAACUCCGAUUGCGAAGGCAGCAUACCGGCGGCGAUCUGACGCUGAGGCACGAAAGCGUGGGUAUCGAACAGGAUUAGAUACCCCUGUAGUC
This 459-nucleotide ribosomal RNA is filed under the name uncultured bacterium. RNAcentral describes it as "partial 16S ribosomal RNA". It matches the Rfam family "Bacterial small subunit ribosomal RNA", at positions 338 to 795 of the family's 1533-position model. The record is from RNAcentral.